This is a small RNA of Streptomyces coelicolor A3(2), 85 nucleotides long. It matches the Rfam family "nrdJ RNA". The record is from Rfam. Lineage: Bacteria; Bacillati; Actinomycetota; Actinomycetes; Kitasatosporales; Streptomycetaceae.
ACCUGUUGCGGGCGGAGCGAGCGAUGCCCGCAACACCAGACAGAACACCGUGCCCACGGGAACAAUCGGGGCACUUCAGGGCGUU